CAACGUGGGUAACCUGCCUUAUAGUGGGGGAUAGCCUUUCGAAAGGAAGAUUAAUACCGCAUAAGAUUGUAGUAUCGCAUGAUAUAGCAAUUAAAGGAGCAAUUCGCUAUAAGAUGGACCCGCGUCGCAUUAGCUAGUUGGUGAGGUAAUGGCUCACCAAGGCGACGAUGCGUAGCCGACCUGAGAGGGUGAUCGGCCACAUUGGGACUGAGACACGGCCCAGACUCCUACGGGAGGCAGCAUG
RNAcentral lists this ribosomal RNA (244 nucleotides) under uncultured bacterium. RNAcentral describes it as "partial 16S ribosomal RNA". It matches the Rfam family "Bacterial small subunit ribosomal RNA", at positions 113 to 353 of the family's 1533-position model. The record is from RNAcentral.